UGCAGUCGAACGAUGAAGCCCUUCGGGGUGGAUUAGUGGCGAACGGGUGAGUAACACGUGGGCAAUCUGCCCUUCACUCUGGGACAAGCCCUGGAAACGGGGUCUAAUACCGGAUAACACCGGCUUCCGCAUGGAAGCUGGUUGAAAGCUCCGGCGGUGAAGGAUGAGCCCGCGGCCUAUCAGCUUGUUGGUGGGGUAAUGGCCUACCAAGGCGACGACGGGUAGCCGGCCUGAGAGGGCGACCGGCCACACUGGGACUGAGACACGGCCCAGACUCCUACGGGAGGCAGCAGUGGGGAAUAUUGCACAAUGGGCGAAAGCCUGAUGCAGCGACGCCGCGUGAGGGAUGACGGCCUUCGGGUUGUAAACCUCUUUCAGCAGGGAAGAAGCGAAAGUGACGGUACCUGCAGAAGAAGCGCCGGCUAACUACGUGCCAGCAGCCGCGGUAAUACGUAGGGCGCAAGCGUUGUCCGGAAUUAUUGGGCGUAAAGAGCUCGUAGGCGGCUUGUCACGUCGGGUGUGAAAGCCCGGGGCUUAACCCCGGGUCUGCAUCCGAUACGGGCAGGCUAGAGUGUGGUAGGGGAGAUCGGAAUUCCUGGUGUAGCGGUGAAAUGCGCAGAUAUCAGGAGGAACACCGGUGGCGAAGGCGGAUCUCUGGGCCAUUACUGACGCUGAGGAGCGAAAGCGUGGGGGAGCGAACAGGAUUAGAUACCCUGGUAGU
This 721-nucleotide ribosomal RNA is filed under the name Streptomyces sp. YIM 56323. Its description in RNAcentral is "bacterial SSU rRNA". It matches the Rfam family "Bacterial small subunit ribosomal RNA", at positions 56 to 794 of the family's 1533-position model. Lineage: Bacteria; Bacillati; Actinomycetota; Actinomycetes; Kitasatosporales; Streptomycetaceae. The record is from RNAcentral.